Molecule: ribosomal RNA, 370 nt
Filed under: uncultured bacterium
Lineage: Bacteria
Description: bacterial SSU rRNA
Rfam family: Bacterial small subunit ribosomal RNA
Source: RNAcentral
AGCGAACGCUGGCGGCAGGCCUAACACAUGCAAGUCGAACGCACCUUCGGGUGAGUGGCGGACGGGUGAGUAACACGUGGGAACGUACCUUUAGGUUCGGAAUAACGCAGGGAAACUUGCGCUAAUACCGAAUGUGCCCCCUCCUUUGACUAGGGGGGCGGGGAAAGAUUUAUCGCCUUUAGAGCGGCCCGCGUUAGAUUAGCUAGUUGGUGGGGUAAGUGGCCCACCAAGGCUACGAUCUAUAAGCUGGUCNGAGAGGAUGAUCAGCCACACUGGGACUGAGACACGGCCCAGACUCCUACGGGAGGCAGCAGUGGGGAAUCUUGCGCAAUGGGCGAAAGACCUGACGCAGCCAUGCCGCGUGAAUGAU